RNAcentral lists this long non-coding RNA (864 nucleotides) under Salmo salar (Atlantic salmon). Its description in RNAcentral is "lncRNA (ENSSSAG00000103087.1)". Lineage: Eukaryota; Metazoa; Chordata; Actinopteri; Salmoniformes; Salmonidae. The record is from RNAcentral.
GUUCCCGGCCACCAGGAGCGCCGCUUCUGGGUGAGCAUUUUCUUCGUUGCUUAUGGCCUUAUAGAGUUGGUUGAGAGCGGUCUUAGUGCCAGCUUCGCAUUGUGGUUGUAAAUAGACGGCUACGAAUAAUACAGAUGAGAACUCUUUUGGUAGAUAGUGCGGUCGACAGCUAUCAAGAGGUACUCUACCUCAGGAGAGCAAUACCUCGAGACUUCUUUAAUAUUAGACAUCGUGCACCAGCUGUUAUUGACAAAAAGACACACACCCCCACCCCUCGUCUUACCAGACGUAGCAUCUCUAUUCUGCCGGUGCAUGGAAAAUCCUGCCAGCUCUAUACUGUCCGAUAAUCUUAAUAUUAGGUCAUCAAAAAAAAUAAUUGCGAUUGCAUGUUAGCAAGAAGAAUGGAAGGCAUUAGGAGUUUACUCGCUCGCCUCCGGAUUCUCAAAAGGAUCCCUGAUCUGCGUCCCCUUUUCCGGUGUCUUUUGUUCACGCAAAAGGCGUGGACCUGGGCCUGUUCCAGUGGAAGCAGGAUAUCCUUCUCGUCGGACUCAUUAAAGGAAAAAGUUUCUUCCAGUCCACGGAGCAUAUUGUUGGAUGUGGCCCACUCUUCCAGCUGCUUUGCCUCCAAGCCCAUGGAAAUGUCAUCUUUUGAUGCUGGUUAAUGGUAUGGCUCGGGACAACCCUACAUCGUCUGCAUACCCAGUGUCCAGAGUGUCACUGAAGGCAACUUUUCGGGUGGACAUGUAAAGAAGAAACAUAUAUGGUUUAAGAAAGGAAGUGUCAAGUGUGCAUCUCCCUGCGCUUGUGCAUGUGAUCUUUGUGUGCUUGCAAAUCUACAAUGACCUGUUCCUCAAAUAUGAUUGC